RNAcentral lists this transfer RNA (72 nucleotides) under Camelus bactrianus (Bactrian camel). It matches the Rfam family "tRNA". Rfam says of the family: Transfer RNA (tRNA) molecules are approximately 80 nucleotides in length. Their secondary structure includes four short double-helical elements and three loops (D, anti-codon, and T loops). The record is from Rfam by way of RNAcentral. RNAcentral also lists the same sequence under 2 other names. Lineage: Eukaryota; Metazoa; Chordata; Mammalia; Artiodactyla; Camelidae.
GGUGGUGUAGCUCAGUGGCAGAGCACAUGCUCAGCAUGCACAAGGUCCAGGGUUCAAUCUCCAGUACCUCCA